GAUAGGGAGCGCGAGCGUGAAGAAACCGGCCGCCAUCUUACGGUGCUCACAACAGUCGCCGCAGCGAUCAUGGCAACUUCUUGCAAUUACGGUCGUACCAACCGUACUGGCAAGGUUACAGGGCCUAAAUUUAUACAGGUUUCGUCAUGAGGGCUACCCAGUGAAUAAUCUGUGUAGUGUGAUACGGCUGGGUGUACAGGUUACUUCACAGCUGCCUCGACAUACUCAAGAAAUGGGUGCAGAACCUGCGUAAUGCCCACAAACUUUGAUUACCACAGCACCUCCAAAAAAGUAUGUGUCACAUGGGAUUUUUAAACGUAUUCACAGUAUAUAAUACCUUCUAUUAACUGUUGUAGAUCUAAGCCGUCUCUACGGUACACUCUCAGAAAUUAAAACCGUGAGAACCGUGAUAAUUGUUUCAGUUAAUAGGGCAUGUUGUGGAACUUCCACUCUAAGAAUGACUGGACCUGAAUUCCGCAGCUCCCAAACACAACGAACCCUUUAUUAUGAUGAGAAGUCCUUUGAAGACAGCUCCCAGCAUUGCAGCCGUCUCGCAGAGCAUCCGGUUCCAAGCAGGCCGGAUCGCAGAAUGCCAGAACGUGAGCUUACCUCGCGUGGUUAGCUUUUCCCGGCCUCGUCUUUCACACUUGUCAAAAAAAUAUGUAACAGGGCAUGCACAUAUAUGCUAUAAGAAGAAAAUUAUUUCUUGAGAAUGCACUUCUCGCAUUUCUCUGGCUACUGGUGUUGUUUACAUCUACUGUUGAUCACAUUCAUUUAUCACGUAUUAUAUUCUUAUAUAUACUAUUAUAUUAACACAUAUUUGAUCACAUUAAAUUCAAAAUUCAUCAUAUAUAAGAAAAUACCAGGAGGGAAGUUGUGAUUCAUUGCUCAUUCUAACCUAAAAUUGAGUGCUACAAAUUUAGAGAGAGUACCUGUCCAUUGUCAUUCCUAAAAUAUAUAUUGUCAUUGUAGCAAGGUCAUAAAACAAUAAAUGUAGUCUUUUGUGACCUCCCUGCACGUUCAUUGUAUCCUGAAACGCAUAAGUGCAAGAAAUAAAUCUUGAACUUGAAUAAACUUGAUGUUGUAUGAACUUGACAUAAAAUGUUGAAUAGUAUAAUGAAUGAUAUAAAAUAUUGAAUAAACUUGAACUCGUAUAUUCUCUUUACUCAUCAUCAGUGACCUUCU
Ornithodoros turicata is the source of this 1185-nucleotide long non-coding RNA. RefSeq lists it as uncharacterized. Lineage: Eukaryota; Metazoa; Arthropoda; Arachnida; Ixodida; Argasidae. The transcript is spliced from 3 exons. The record is from RefSeq and is a predicted model, not a curated record.